Molecule: ribosomal RNA, 420 nt
Filed under: uncultured soil bacterium
Lineage: Bacteria
Description: bacterial SSU rRNA
Rfam family: Bacterial small subunit ribosomal RNA
Source: RNAcentral
AGGAUGAACGCUGGCGGCGUGCUUAACACAUGCAAGUCGAACGGGAACCAAGAGCUUGCUUUUGGUGAGAGUGGCGAAUGGGUGCGUAACACGUAGGCGACCUGCCCUCAAGCGGGGGAUAACGGUCCGAAAGGAUCGCUAAUACCGUAUGUGGCUGUUGAUUCGGUUCAACAACUAAACUUCCGGGGCUUGAGGAGGGGCCUGCGGCCCAUCAGCUAGUUGGUGAGGUAAUGGCUCACCAAGGCGACGACGGGUAGGGGGCCUGAGAGGGUCGACCCCCACACUGGCACUGACACACGGGCCAGACUCCUACGGGAGGCAGCAGUGAGGAAUAUGCACAAUGGGCAAAGCCUGAUGCAGCAACGCCGCGUGAGCGAUGGAACGGUCCCGUUACGGGGUACCGUAAAAGUCCUUACCCCG